Molecule: ribosomal RNA, 337 nt
Filed under: Cyrtocarenum cunicularium
Lineage: Eukaryota; Metazoa; Arthropoda; Arachnida; Araneae; Ctenizidae
Description: partial 12S ribosomal RNA
Source: RNAcentral
AAAGGUAAUACUUUCAGGAAACCUUUAUCCUUUGGCGGCCUUUUUUCUUUUCAGAGGAAUUCGUCUAUUAAUCGAAAUUACCCGUUUAUUUUCUCUUUCUUUCGGUCAUUUAUACCGCCGUCUAAAUAAUAUAUUAAAAAAUCUAUUUUCAAUAAUCUUUUCUAAGUCAGGUCAAGGUGAAGAAAUAAAAAAGUUUAGAUAAAUUACUUAUUAACAUUAUUAAUGAAUUUCUAUCUAAAGCCAAAAAUGAAAUAGGAUUUGAAAGUAGGGUGAACGAAAAAAAAUAAUAAUUUCACCCGAAUAAGAGUUUAGGUGUACACAUCGCCCGUCGCUCUUA